GGUUAUAGCUCAGUGGUAGAGUGCUUGCCUGGCAUGUGUGAGGCACUGGGUUCAAUCCUCAGCACCA
Molecule: transfer RNA, 67 nt
Filed under: Marmota monax (woodchuck)
Lineage: Eukaryota; Metazoa; Chordata; Mammalia; Rodentia; Sciuridae
Description: tRNA.Ala
Source: RNAcentral